Molecule: long non-coding RNA, 228 nt
Organism: Homo sapiens (human)
Lineage: Eukaryota; Metazoa; Chordata; Mammalia; Primates; Hominidae
Exons: 3
Source: RefSeq, a predicted model, not a curated record
AUCGGCAGGACGAGAAAUAAUGGACACACACAAGAUAGUGAAAGCUGGGUCCAGGGGGGUCACCGCCUUCUGGUCCUGUGAUGCCGCCAAUGCACUGGUUAUUGUAUCACAAAUAAUGGGUUCACCAAUGAAGAACAUGUUCAAAGGUUUCAAGAUGCAGCCUCCCUCUCUAUGCAUCUUCCUCCACUUAAUCUCUAUUCCACCUCUGGGCCAUCACUUUGAAAUACA